CCGCUUAACUCCGUGUUGCCCGGAGCGCUCGGUGCAGGGUACGGCUCUGCUGUGGUGAACAGGCGUUGUACUGCCUGGGGUCCCUGAUAAGGGACGGGCCCCGCUAUAGGGGAUAGCCCGUGCUGCAGGGGGUGAGCCCAUGCUGCCUGCAGCCUCUGCUGGGGGGCAGGCCCUGUGCUGCAGGUACCCACAGUGAGGGACAGGCCCUGCUAUAGGGGAAGAGCUGAGCAGUAGGGGACAGGCCCUGCUGUAGGGCAAGAGAGAUGCUGCAGUGGACAGGCCCUGUGACAGGGGAAGAGCCAUGCUAUAGGGGACAGGCCCCAUGCUGCCUGCAGCUCCCUAUAGGGGACAGGUGCCACGAUAGGGGACAGGCCCCGCUAGAAGGGACAGUAUGGGCCCCACAGUGACUCAGCUGCAGGCUGGGUGGUUUUAAUGCUGCAUCCCUCUGCACUGGGGGAGAAAAAAGAGGUGAUAACAUUCUCAUUUUGAGACUCCUGUGUGUUGUUCAGACCUUUCGCUUGAGAACUUAGCCAUCCUGAGGAGCAACAGAUAACUCGGGUUCCCUGGGAACAGACACACAGCUCUGACCCAGCCAGCUCUUCUCAUCGAGCACAGGAUGAGCGUUUAUUGUCUUGUGAUCAAAACACAAACAGAAAGCAGAGCCCCGCAAGUGACACAAAACAUCGCACGCGGACACGUGAUGCCGAGCAGAACUGGGAGCUGGGUCCGGGUUAAUGGUGUGAAGAGAUCGAAUGUAAA
This is a long non-coding RNA of Numida meleagris (helmeted guineafowl), 759 nucleotides long. RefSeq lists it as uncharacterized. The transcript has 2 exons. The record is from RefSeq and is a predicted model, not a curated record. NCBI's taxonomy places the organism in Eukaryota, Metazoa, Chordata, Aves, Galliformes, Numididae.